AGUGAACGCUGGCGGUAGGCCUAACACAUGCAAGUCGAACGGCAGCACAGUAAGAGCUUGCUCUUACGGGUGGCGAGUGGCGGACGGGUGAGGAAUACAUCGGAAUCUACUUUUUCGUGGGGGAUAACGUAGGGAAACUUACGCUAAUACCGCAUACGACCUACGGGUGAAAGCAGGGGAUCUUCGGACCUUGCGCGAUUGAAUGAGCCGAUGUCGGAUUUGCUAGUUGGCGGGGUAAAGGCCCACCAAGGCGACGAUCCGUAGCUGGUCUGAGAGGAUGAUCAGCCACACUGGAACUGAGACACGGUCCAGACGCCUACGGGAGGCAGCAGAGUGGAAUAUUGGACAAUGGGCGCAAGCCUGAUCCAGCCAUACCGCGUGGGUGAAGAAGGCCUUCGGGUUGUAAAGCCCUUUUGUUGGGAAAGAAAAGCAGCAGGUUAAUACCCCGCUGUUCUGACGGUACCCAAAGAAUAAGCACCGGCUAACUUCGUG
This 492-nucleotide ribosomal RNA is filed under the name uncultured bacterium. RNAcentral's name for it is "partial 16S ribosomal RNA". It matches the Rfam family "Bacterial small subunit ribosomal RNA", at positions 29 to 507 of the family's 1533-position model. The record is from RNAcentral.